This is a long non-coding RNA of Spinacia oleracea (spinach), 1726 nucleotides long. RefSeq lists it as uncharacterized. NCBI's taxonomy places the organism in Eukaryota, Viridiplantae, Streptophyta, Magnoliopsida, Caryophyllales, Amaranthaceae. The record is from RefSeq and is a predicted model, not a curated record. The transcript is spliced from 6 exons.
GAAACAACCAUUUCGCAGUAAUAAGACAUCAGCAAAAAGUGUGUUUCUGCAAGAAUUAGUAGGCUGCAGACAUCUGACCCAUCAGAACAGACUACGCGCGAGACUCAUUUGAGGCACUAGAGUAAUUGUACAAUAUGAUAGGCUAGAAGGUCAACAAACAAAAACCUAUAGAUUUGGGUUGUAAACUUGUAACUUGUAUUGUUGGUAAGGUUACUGUAUAUAGGCAUUUGCUAACUGAUACAUAUGUGAAACAUUUCCAGAUAUAUAAGAUGCCAAAAGAUAGAAAUAUAGUGCAUCCGUUUACUAAGAUUUCAGCUUCCAACAGAAGCUUAAUGAAUGAUCAACACAUUUCAUUUAGUGGCCUUCUAUAGAAACAUCCUACUGUCCUAACAAGAUGUGCUAUAGUUUGUUCAUUAGUUACUGCCAGUUUUGGACCUUCGGGAAAAAAAUAUUGAACCGGGGAUAAAAAGGGGAACUUUCAUUGCUGAAUUAUUGAUUGAAUACUUUGCUUCCAUUGGCUGUUGAUGAACCUUGCAUAUUGUUCCUUCCAAAAGCAUAUUUUUGGGAUUAGAUAGAUAAAACAUAUUCCUGUUUUGUUUGCGUUUUACUACAAGUGCAACAAGUUCUAGUAUUGCCAGGUUCAACGAGUUCUCUUUUUGGUUGAAUAUUGUGUGUAUCCUUUUUCAGCUCACUGUUUAAUUUCAUUUCUAGGUCCAUUAUAGUAUCUUCCUACAUAGCUGUAUAUCAUGAAGCAGAAUCUCGAGGAAUCUGAAACUUUAUAUACUUGUGUGCUAUUCUAAAUACAUGUUUUAUCUGGUGCAGGCACUUGAUAAAUCGCAGCUUGGAGCCCUUCUUCGUCAAAGAGGCGAAAAGCUUGAUUCACCAGUGCUUGAAAAUGGGGAAAAUUGGAGUGUGGGACAACGAAAACUUGUUUCAUUGGGCCGUGCUUUGCUUAAGCAGGCAAGAAUACUUGUUCUUGAUGAAGCCACUGCUUCUGUUGAUACAGCGACAGAUAAUCUUAUCCAGACUCUAAUAAGGGCAGAGUUCAGGGACUGCACAGUUGUGAUGAUAGCACACAGAAUACCAACAGUUAUGGAUAGUGAUUUUGUGUUGGUCCUCAGUGACGUGUGCUCAACAAGUCGGCGCCCGCGAGUGUGGCUAUUACAUUAUGAAGUUCAUGCAUGAAAUAGUCACGUUACACCAUAACUCUGAUGAGCGGUUAGAUAAUGCUUACACUCCAAGAAAUGCGCCUUAUACCGAUGAGGAAAUAGAUGUGGUUCGUGAGCAAUGGGCUAAGUUUUUUACAACCGAGUAUUUAUUUACUUAGGUUGUUUAGACACAAAGAUGGAAGCGUUUAUAUCUUCAUGGAUUUGCUUGUUUUGAGUACUGGAAGCGGUGUUAAUGGUUUCACUCUAGAUCCAUCUCCUUGGAGAGUAUAUUUUAACUCAUCCAGACAUCAAGGGAUCGAGUCGAUUGGAAGAAAUUCAACACUGCCUUAAUUAAGGUUUAUAAUGCAUGAUCUAAAGGGAGCUAAGUGGCCGGAUUAGAGAAAUUUGUUAGACUAGCUCUCUAGCCUUUUGUCUUUAUUUGUUAAUAUUAGUUGUAAUUUGUUAGACUAGCUAGGUGUUUAAAAUUGCAAACGUACGUACUAUACGCUUGGGUUACUAUAAAUGAAGUUAAUGUAAUGAUUUAUUUAUUAAAAAUAAGCAGAUUCAUACCUUUGCUA